Molecule: transfer RNA, 86 nt
Filed under: Candidatus Nanopelagicus hibericus
Lineage: Bacteria; Bacillati; Actinomycetota; Actinomycetes; Candidatus Nanopelagicales; Candidatus Nanopelagicaceae
Also listed under: 5 other names
Description: tRNA-Ser
Rfam family: tRNA
About the family: Transfer RNA (tRNA) molecules are approximately 80 nucleotides in length. Their secondary structure includes four short double-helical elements and three loops (D, anti-codon, and T loops). Further hydrogen bonds mediate the characteristic L-shaped molecular structure. tRNAs have two regions of fundamental functional importance: the anti-codon, which is responsible for specific mRNA codon recognition, and the 3' end, to which the tRNAs corresponding amino acid is attached (by aminoacyl-tRNA synthetases). tRNAs cope with the degeneracy of the genetic code in two manners: having more than one tRNA (with a specific anti-codon) for a particular amino acid; and 'wobble' base-pairing, i.e. permitting non-standard base-pairing at the 3rd anti-codon position.
Source: RNAcentral
GGAGGGCUCGCAUAGUGGCCGAGUGCACCGGUCUUGAAAACCGGCAAGGGAAACCUUCGUGGGUUCAAAUCCCACGCCCUCCGCCA